UACGUAGGGUGCGAGCGUUGUCCGGAAUUACUGGGCGUAAAGGGCUCGUAGGUGGCCAACUAAGUCAGACGUGAAAUCCCUCGGCUUAACCGGGGAACUGCGUCUGAUACUGGAUGGCUUGAGUUCGGGAGAGGGAUGCGGAAUUCCAGGUGUAGCGGUGAAAUGCGCAGAUAUCAGGAGGAACACCGGUGGCGAAGGCGGGUCUCUGGGCCGGUACCGACGCUGAGGAGCGAAAGCGUGGGGAGCGAACAGG
Molecule: ribosomal RNA, 253 nt
Filed under: uncultured bacterium
Lineage: Bacteria
Description: partial 16S ribosomal RNA
Rfam family: Bacterial small subunit ribosomal RNA
Source: RNAcentral